This 500-nucleotide ribosomal RNA is filed under the name uncultured bacterium. RNAcentral's name for it is "bacterial SSU rRNA". It matches the Rfam family "Bacterial small subunit ribosomal RNA", at positions 8 to 526 of the family's 1533-position model. The record is from RNAcentral.
AGAGUUUGAUCAUGGCUCAGAAUGAACGUUGGCGGUGUGGAUUAGUCAUGCAAGUCGUGCGCGAAACGUAGCAAUACGUGGAGAGCGGCGAAAGGGAGAGUAAUACAUGGUUAGCUGCCCUCGGGACUGGAAUAGCGGCGGGAAACUGCCGGUAAUGCCAGAUGACGUCUUCGGACCAAACGUGUAAACCGGCCCGAGGAGGUGACCAUGUCCUAUCAGCUUGUUGGCGGGGUAACGGCCCACCAAGGCUAAGACGGGUAUGGGGCGUGAGAGCGUGCCCCCACCCACUGGGACUGAGAACUGCCCAGACACCUACGGGUGGCUGCAGUCGAGAAUCUUCGGCAAGGGGCGCAAGCCUGACCGAGCGACACCGCGUGCGGGAUGAAGGCCUUCGGGUUGUAAACCGCUGUCGUAGGGGAGGAAGGUCUGGUGUAUAGCCAGGCUUGACCGAUCCUAGGAGGAAGGGCCGGCUAAUCUCGUGCCAGCAGCCGCGGUAAUUC